UGAAGGCUCAACGCGCACACG
Molecule: unclassified non-coding RNA, 21 nt
Filed under: Chlamydomonas reinhardtii
Lineage: Eukaryota; Viridiplantae; Chlorophyta; Chlorophyceae; Chlamydomonadales; Chlamydomonadaceae
Description: small RNA Cre_2850
Source: RNAcentral